UACGGAGGGUGCAAGCGUUGUCCGGAUUUAUUGGGUUUAAAGGGUGCGUAGGUGGCCUUAUAAGUCAGCGGUGAAAGUCUGCAGCUUAACUGUAGAACUGCCAUUGAUACUGUAAGGCUUGAGUACUGAUGAGGUAGGCGGAAUUGAUAGUGUAGCGGUGAAAUGCAUAGAUAUUAUCAAGAACACCGAUUGCGAAGGCGGCUUACUAAGGAGUUACUGACACUGAGGCACGAAAGCGUGGGGAUCAAACAGG
This 253-nucleotide ribosomal RNA is filed under the name uncultured bacterium. RNAcentral describes it as "partial 16S ribosomal RNA". It matches the Rfam family "Bacterial small subunit ribosomal RNA", at positions 524 to 776 of the family's 1533-position model. The record is from RNAcentral.